CUCCCAGACUCCUACGGGAGGCAGCAGUGGGGAAUAUUGCACAAUGGGGGAAACCCUGAUGCAGCAACGCCGCGUGAGUGAAGAAGUCAUUCGUGAUGUAAAGCUCUAUCAGCAGGGAAGAAAAUGACGGUACCUGACUAAGAAGCCCCGGCUAACUACGUGCCAGCAGCCGCGGUAAUACGUAGGGGGCAAGCGUUAUCCGGAUUUACUGGGUGUAAAGGGAGCGUAGACGGCAGAGCAAGUCUGAAGUGAAAGCCCGCGGCCCAACCCCGGGACUGCAUUUGAAACUGUCAGGCUGGAGUGCAGGAGAGGUAAGUGGAAUUCCUAGUGUAGCGGUGAAAUGCGUAGAUAUUAGGAGGAACACCAGUGGCGAAGGCGGCUUACUGGACUGUAACUGACGUUGAGGCUCGAAAGCGUGGGGAGCAAACAGGAUUAGAUACCCGGGUAU
RNAcentral lists this ribosomal RNA (448 nucleotides) under uncultured bacterium. RNAcentral describes it as "bacterial SSU rRNA". It matches the Rfam family "Bacterial small subunit ribosomal RNA", at positions 328 to 793 of the family's 1533-position model. The record is from RNAcentral.